AGAAAAAAGAAUAUUAUAUGAGACGGUUAAAAUUACAGUUGUAUACAAAUGGAAAUAAAGCUACUCGUUUAGUAGCAAAUAAAUUAAAGGACCACUAUAGGCACCCAGACCACUUCAGCUCAAUGAAGUGGUCUAAGUGCCAAGUCCAUCUAGUGUUAACCCUGCUGCUGUAAACAUAGUUUCAGAGAAACUGUAUGUUUACACUAGGGUUAAUCCAGCCUCUAGUGGCUGUCUCACUGACCGCCGCUAGAGGCACUUCCGCACUUCUCACUGUGAAAAUCACAGUGAGAAGACGCUGACGUCC
Pelobates cultripes (western spadefoot toad) is the source of this 304-nucleotide non-coding RNA. Lineage: Eukaryota; Metazoa; Chordata; Amphibia; Anura; Pelobatidae. The record is from the annotation of a GenBank genome assembly.